AUACGUAGGUGGCGAGCGUUGUCCGGAUUUACUGGGCGUAAAGGGAGCGUAGGUCGGAUUUUUUAAGUGAGAUGUGAAAUACUCGGGCUUAACCUGAGUGCUGCAUUUCAAACUGGAAGUCUAGAGUGCAGGAGAGGAGAAGGGAAUUCCAAGUGUAGCGGUAAAAUGCGCAGAUAUUUGGAGGAACACCGGUGGCGAAGGCGGCUUUCUGGACUGUAACUGACGCUGAGGCGCGAGAGCGUGGGGAGC
RNAcentral lists this ribosomal RNA (249 nucleotides) under uncultured bacterium. RNAcentral's name for it is "partial 16S ribosomal RNA". It matches the Rfam family "Bacterial small subunit ribosomal RNA", at positions 523 to 769 of the family's 1533-position model. The record is from RNAcentral.